This 550-nucleotide ribosomal RNA is filed under the name uncultured bacterium. Its description in RNAcentral is "bacterial SSU rRNA". It matches the Rfam family "Bacterial small subunit ribosomal RNA", at positions 355 to 896 of the family's 1533-position model. The record is from RNAcentral.
UGGGGAAUAUUGGACAAUGGGGGCAACCCUGAUCCAGCCAUGCCGCGUGUGUGAAGAAGGCCUUAGGGUUGUAAAGCACUUUCAGUGGGGAGGAAAAGUUAACGGCUAAUACCCGUUAGCCCUGACGUUACCUACAGAAGAAGCACCGGCAAACUCCGUGCCAGCAGCCGCGGUAAUACGGAGGGUGCGAGCGUUAAUCGGAAUUACUGGGCGUAAAGCGCGCGUAGGCGGCUUGUUAAGCUGGAUGUGAAAGCCCUGGGCUCAACCUGGGAACUGCAUACAGAACUGCCCGGCUAGAGCACGGUAGAGGCUGGUGGAAUUCCCGGUGUAGCGGUGGAAUGCGUAGAGAUCGGGAAGAACAUCCGUGGCGAAGGCGGCCAGCUGGGCCGUUGCUGACGCUGAGGCGCGACAGCGUGGGGAGCAAACAGGAUUAGAUACCCUGGUAGUCCACGCCGUAAACGAUGGGUACUAGGCGCUGGGGGGAGCGACCCCUCCGGUGCCGUCGCUAACGCAGUAAGUACCCCGCCUGGGGAGUACGGCCGCAAGGCUG